CCUGGCUCACGAUGAACGCUAGCUACAGGCUUAACACAUGCAAGUCGAGGGGCAGCAUGGUCUUAGCUUGCUAAGGCCGAUGGCGACCGGCGCACGGGUGAGUAACACGUAUCCAACCUGCCGUCUACUCUUGGACAGCCUUCUGAAAGGAAGAUUAAUACAAGAUGGCAUCAUGAGUCCGCAUGUUCACAUGAUUAAAGGUAUUCCGGUAGACGAUGGGGAUGCGUUCCAUUAGAUAGUAGGCGGGGUAACGGCCCACCUAGUCUUCGAUGGAUAGGGGUUCUGAGAGGAAGGUCCCCCACAUUGGAACUGAGACACGGUCCAAACUCCUACGGGAGGCAGCAGUGAGGAAUAUUGGUCAAUGGGCGAGAGCCUGAACCAGCCAAGUAGCGUGAAGGAUGACUGCCCUAUGGGUUGUAAACUUCUUUUAUAAAGGAAUAAAGUCGGGUAUGGAUACCCGUUUGCAUGUACUUUAUGAAUAAGGAUCGGCUAACUCCGUGCCAGCAGCCGCGGUAAUACGGAGGAUCCGAGCGUUAUCCGGAUUUAUUGGGUUUAAAGGGAGCGUAGAUGGAUGUUUAAGUCAGUUGUGAAAGUUUGCGGCUCAACCGUAAAAUUGCAGUUGAUACUGGAUAUCUUGAGUGCAGUUGAGGCAGGCGGAAUUCGUGGUGUAGCGGUGAAAUGCUUAGAUAUCACGAAGAACUCCGAUUGCGAAGGCAGCCUGCUAAGCUGCAACUGACAUUGAGGCUCGAAAGUGUGGGUAUCAAACAGGAUUAGAUACCCUGGUAGUCCACACGGUAAACGAUGAAUACUCGCUGUUUGCGAUAUACAGCAAGCGGCCAAGCGAAAGCGUUAAGUAUUCCACCUGGGGAGUACGCCGGCAACGGUGAAACUCAAAGGAAUUGACGGGGGCCCGCACAAGCGGAGGAACAUGUGGUUUAAUUCGAUGAUACGCGAGGAACCUUACCCGGGCUUAAAUUGCAGAUGAAUUACGGUGAAAGCCGUAAGCCGCAAGGCAUCUGUGAAGGUGCUGCAUGGUUGUCGUCAGCUCGUGCCGUGAGGUGUCGGCUUAAGUGCCAUAACGAGCGCAACCCUUGUUGUCAGUUACUAACAGGUUCCGCUGAGGACUCUGACAAGACUGCCAUCGUAAGAUGUGAGGAAGGUGGGGAUGACGUCAAAUCAGCACGGCCCUUACGUCCGGGGCUACACACGUGUUACAAUGGGGGGUACAGAGGGCCGCUACCACGCGAGUGGAUGCCAAUCCCCAAAACCUCUCUCAGUUCGGACUGGAGUCUGCAACCCGACUCCACGAAGCUGGAUUCGCUAGUAAUCGCGCAUCAGCCACGGCGCGGUGAAUACGUUCCCGGUCCUUGCACACACCGCCC
RNAcentral lists this ribosomal RNA (1382 nucleotides) under uncultured bacterium. Its description in RNAcentral is "bacterial SSU rRNA". It matches the Rfam family "Bacterial small subunit ribosomal RNA", at positions 18 to 1395 of the family's 1533-position model. The record is from RNAcentral.